RNAcentral lists this non-coding RNA (124 nucleotides) under Picochlorum sp. RCC944. The record is from RNAcentral. Lineage: Eukaryota; Viridiplantae; Chlorophyta; Trebouxiophyceae.
AAGAAAAAACGAAAGGGAAAACCCAAGCUUCUUCUUCUUCUCUUAUCACUUGUGAUCCCUUUCUUUCUUUCUUUCUUUCUUUUUAAGACUUUAAGACAAGAGGACGAGGGACGACAGAGAAAUC